CGAGCCUGGCCGAGCCUGGCUUCAAGCGGCGAGGAAAGCGAGGCUGAAUUAGUAGAACAAUUCAAACGCUUCUAAAACGCUCUGAAGCUACAGGUUCUAGCCGGAGCCACAGGCAGUACCGGGGGUGAUGCGGUGCCAGCCCAGCUCUUCCCUCUUCCCCUCCCUCCGGCGAGCCCGUGUGAGAGCUGUCCCGAGAGUGGCAUCGCCAGCUCUCCAGCCAAGCUUUCCUCUUUAAAUCUCAUCUUUAGCACUUGUUUUGUUUUUGUUUGUUUUUUUUUUUCCAGUUCUGUGAGACUGUGAAGAUGAUUAUUCGGGACCAGAGGAGUGUGCUCGCCUCGGUGCUUGUGGGACUAGCGUCAAUUGUCUGCCUAGCUCACAUCCUCCUGGGCCAAAGGUGCAGCGAGGCAGGCAGCGUCUCCCCAGGGUCCGGUGUCCAGACUAGAGUGGAAAAAUCCCAAAUCAAUCACUACCAGCUCAACGUGGUGUGAAGAGAGUCGCAGCAUCUCCCGGCUGCCAGGACAAGAGGCGUGGAACUCCUCCAAAAUGAGAACUGCCGUGGCUGACCAAGAGCUUUUUUAGAUAACAUACUCCCACCUAGCGGCCCUCUUAGAGUCAGGAACACGCACAGUCUCCAGCAAAUUCUGAAGUUAUCUAUGGAACUCGCAUUUAAAGGAGGAGUAAGUCAGAUAUUUACUAAGUCGAUAUAACUGCUCAGGAAGUCUAGAAAUGUUGAUUUUGAAUUCCUGUUUAACUGCUGUAACAUCUAACCAGAAAUCAGGAAGGAACAGAUAAACUGCAUAACAUUGAUUCUA
Molecule: non-coding RNA, 812 nt
Organism: Cyanistes caeruleus (blue tit)
Lineage: Eukaryota; Metazoa; Chordata; Aves; Passeriformes; Paridae
Source: RefSeq, a predicted model, not a curated record